RNAcentral lists this long non-coding RNA (3403 nucleotides) under Mus musculus (house mouse). RNAcentral's name for it is "long non-coding RNA chr18:5685974-5689377". Lineage: Eukaryota; Metazoa; Chordata; Mammalia; Rodentia; Muridae. The record is from RNAcentral.
UUUGUUUUGGUUUUAGGUUGCAAGGGCAGAGUUCCCUUCACUGCCUUGAUUCAUGGCAAAGUGCCAAUGGUUUUAGAGUCAUCCUUUUAAUACAAAAAUAAAAUCACAAAAGGAAGAUAACCUGUGUGAGGUCAAAAGUCACAUCGCAGAAGGUGAACACCACAGUGUUUGUUAUCAUUGCAGAAAUGGUUUUGGCCUUUCUGUCUAGAUGAUUAGGGCAAAAGGAACUGACUUGGGGCCAUUUAGGAAAAGCUCCCUGAUAGAGAUUGAUAAAGAAUGAGUGUCAUUCUCUUUUAUUGUGUCACCUAUUCAAAUAAAAGUAGGAAAAUUGCAAAGUUAAAUUGUAUUUAUCAUUUUUUUGUUAAUCAUCCACAGAUUUGGCAAGUGUUUAGUGAGUGCUUUGCGUAAGUUAUUAUUAAUUAAGAAAUGAAAACCAUCGCAUGGGGAACAGAAUAACACCAAAAACCCUGUGUACGGCCUGUCUACAGAGGUUUUGUAACAACGCCUCUCUUUGAAGCCCCAGAAUUUGAAUUUUAUAUAAAAGCCAAUAGAUAGGAGAGCCAGGUUUAACUUUUUUUUUUCCGCAGUUGGACAAACAUUUACCUUCUUUGGCUUUCAGUUUUCUUGAGUGUGAAAUGUGAGGCUAAGAUUUAUCUUCUCAAUGUUUCCAGUUUUCUUUUUUUAAACAAUAUUUUUAAAGAUUUGUGGAUUUUAUUUAUAUGAGUACACUGUAGCUGUCUUCAGACACACAGAAGAGGGCAUUGGAUCCCAUUACUGAUGGUUGUGAGCCACCAUGUGAUUGCUGGAAAUUGAACUCAGGACCUCUGGAAGAGCAGUCAGUGCUCUUAACCACGGAGCCAUUCCUCCAGCCCUUGUUUCCAGAUUUCAAAUUCAUUAAUUUGAUGUGUUUCACAAUUCAGUCACCCUUCGCUGACACAGCAUGCCUUAAUUACUCUGUGGGAAGCCAUAAAACCACCACCAAACCAUUUGGCUCCUGUUUUUAAGUCACUGACUCAGUGUGAGUUGAGCAGUACUCUUCCUUUUUCCACAUUUUAUCAGAAUGUGCCACAUCACCAAAGACCUAAAGGAACUCACACAAAUGAUGGAGAUGUGGGAAAUAAGCACUGUUGCAAAGAGUUGGGAAUCCAGAGAUUAGAAUAAGAAUGAGGAAAAGUCCACUGUGCCACACACCCAGAAGUCAAGUGCCUGUAUGGCAUGCAUGAGGGCCUGGGUUCAAAUCCUGUGGUUGUAAGAGCCCCAUCAAAGUGUUUGUGUUUUAGCCUGUUCGCUAAUUCCAUAAAAACUGUAAAUGUUGUGCAUGCUUGGCAGAAUCUGUAAAAGUAGGAACAUGGGCCUAAUGGUGUAAAAACAGUGGUGUAAAAACUACAUCUUUAUCUCCAUGCACCUUACUUUAAUGAGAGCACAGCAGGUAACACUGCCACCUCCUAAAUGGACCCAUUGCUUAACCCAUAUAGCUUGGAAAUAUGGCUCUGACAAAGGAGAACUAAAUAGAAAUUAUCUUAGCCAUCAGCUCAUUAUUUAAUUUUUUUAAUUAGUGUAAUUUGUGAGCUUCACUAUGUACACGUGGCACCUGUACACAAGCAUCACAUACUCUGCUCAUUUACCCCACCCAUCACCAUCGCUUUUUCCCCAGAGAGUCUGUCCUAUCCUUUCUUGUCAUAUAUGUAAAUUUUAAACUGAGCAUAUGAUAGAAAACAAGCAGUGUGUGUGUGUGUGUGUGUGUGUGUGUGUGUGUGUGUGAAAGAGAGAGAGAGAGAGAGAGAGAGAGAGAGAGAGAGAGAGAGCGCGCAUAUGCAUGUAGAGACAGGAGGUUGAUGUGGUGCCCUCCUCUCCCACCCUUCACCUUAUUUUUUGAAACAGGGUUUUCCUUUAACUCGGAGCUCACCAAUUGGAUAAGACUAGCUGGCCAGUGCACUCCAGGGAUCUGCCUGUCUCUGCUCUGUACGUCCUCAGCUAGAGCUAUAGGUCUGCACCAUCAUGCUCGGCCUACAUGGGGAUCUGAAUGCUGGUCCUUAUGCUUGUACCACCAGCUCUAUGUAGCCUGGGCGGUCUCCUCAGCCUCAAACAUGCAAUAUUUCACUUAGUAUUAUCUCCAGUUCCAUCCAUCUUCCUGCACAUGACACAAUUUAUUCUUUAUGGCUGAAUAAAAUCCCAUUGUGUAUGCAUCCAGCGUCAUCUUUACCCAUUCGUCUGUUUGUGGUCAUCUAGGCUGACUUCUCUCCCUAGUUACUGUGGCCACUGUGAAUUAGCACAGUAGUAAACAUGGCCAUGCAAGGGUCUCUGAUGUGAUCUUUUAGAAUAUGCCAGGAGUCGUAUAAUUGGAUCAUAUGGUCAUUCAAUUUUUAAUUGCUUGAGAUCCCUCCAUGCAGAUUCCUAGGUGUCUGUACUCAUUUAGAUUUCUACCAACACAUUGCUAGCCUCUCCUCCUACCCACAUCCUCACCAACAUUUGGACUUUGUUUUGUUUUUUUUCUUGACAAAUGCUGUCUUAGUUCAUUUCCUGUUGCGAUGAUAAACACCAUGACUAAAAUCAAGCUUGGGAGAACAAGGCUGAUUUCAGUUUAGAACUCUCAGGUGGUAGUCAGUCAUAAGGGAAGUCAGGGCAGAAACACAAGCCAAACCCAGGGCAGAAACAGAAGCAGAAGUGGAGACAAUAGAGGAGCAUUGCUUACUGACUUGUUCCCCAUGGCUUGCUCAGCUAGCUUCCUUAAACAAGCCCAGGAGUAGCACUGCCCCCAGCCUUACCACAUAAGUUAUUAGUCAAGAAAAUGGCCCCACAGGCUUGCCUAUGGGCCAGUCUGACAGAGGAGUUUUUUUUUUUUUUUUCAAUUGAGUUCCCAAAUGACUCUGUUCGUUGUCAAAUUGACAAGAAAAAAAAAUCUAACUAGAAUAGCCUUAUUAGCACAAAAUAAGCUAUCAGGAAAUACUUACUUACUUAGGACUCACUUUGGCCUUGAACUCACAGAGAUCUGCCUCACAAGUGCUGGGACUAAAGGCGUGCAUCUCACCUGGCAACUAAUCUUGAAAUAGGAUUCUCAAGGGCCCAGUGUGAGGAUCUAUAAAGGCAGAAAUUGGAGGCCAGAGAAGCACUGGUACAGGAAGAUGUGUAGUGAAAGAUGAGUAGUGACAAUCUCAGUUGGCCAUUGCUGACCUUGAAGAUGGGCAAGGAUAAUGAGCAGCCUCUGGAAGUCUAGAAAAGAACAUGACAGAUGUGGUGAUAUGAAUGAAAAUGGUGCCCAUAGACUUAUAUAUCUGAGUUCUUGGUCCCUAGUUGGUAAACUGAUUAGGAAGGAUUAGGAGGCCAGCCUGGCCUACAUAUUGAGUUCCAAGACAGCCAGAGCCACAUAGUGAGACUCUGUCUCCCCCCAUCCCACCCCACCCCC